This 317-nucleotide ribosomal RNA is filed under the name uncultured bacterium. Its description in RNAcentral is "bacterial SSU rRNA". It matches the Rfam family "Bacterial small subunit ribosomal RNA", at positions 28 to 334 of the family's 1533-position model. The record is from RNAcentral.
GAUGAACGCUGGCGGCGUGCCUAACACAUGCAAGUCGAACGGGGGCAGAUUGAAACCUAGUGAUAUCUGCCCGAGUGGCGGACGGGUGAGUAACGCGUGGACAACCUGCCGCAUGCAGGGGGAUACCGGCUGGAAACAGCCGCUAAUACCGCAUAUGCGCACGGCGCCGCAUGGCGCAGUGCGGAAAGGGAGCGAUCCCGGCAUGCGAUGGGUCCGCGUCCGAUUAGCUUGUUGGCGGGGCAGCGGCCCACCAAGGCGACGAUCGGUAGCCGGCCUGAGAGGGCGGACGGCCACAUUGGGACUGAGACACGGCCCAG